RNAcentral lists this ribosomal RNA (506 nucleotides) under uncultured bacterium. Its description in RNAcentral is "partial 16S ribosomal RNA". It matches the Rfam family "Bacterial small subunit ribosomal RNA", at positions 28 to 523 of the family's 1533-position model. The record is from RNAcentral.
GAUGAACGCUAGCUACAGGCUUAACACAUGCAAGUCGAGGGGUAACGAGAGGAAAGCUUGCUUUCCUUGUCGACGACCGGCGCACGGGUGAGUAACGCGUAUCCAACCUGCCCCCAACUAGGGAAUAACCUUGCGAAAGUAAGACUAAUACCCCAUAAUUUCCUCAGAUGUCAUCUGACGAGGAAUAAAGAUUUAUCGGUUGUGGAUGGGGAUGCGUCUGAUUAGCUUGUUGGCGGGGUAACGGCCCACCAAGGCAACGAUCAGUAGGGGUUCUGAGAGGAAGGUCCCCCACAUUGGAACUGAGAAACGGUCCAAACUCCUACGGGAGGCAGCAGUUAGGAAUAUUGAGCAAUGGGCGGAAGCCUGAACCAGCCAAGUAGCGUGCAGGAUGACGGCCCUAUGGGUUGUAAACUGCUUUUAUACAGGAAUAAAGUUAGCCACGUGUGGUUAUUUGUAGGUACUGUAUGAAUAAGGACCGGCUAAUUCCGUGCCAGCCGCAGCGGUAA